UACAGAGGUCUCAAGCGUUGUUCGGAUUCAUUGGGCGUAAAGGGUGCGUAGGCGGCGCGGUAAGUCGGGUGUGAAAUCUCGGAGCUUAACUCCGAAACUGCAUUCGAUACUGCCGUGCUUGAGGACUGGAGAGGUAAGCGGAAUUCCUGGUGUAGCGGUGAAAUGCGUAGAUAUCAGGAGGAACACCUGUGGUGUAGACAGCUUACUGGACCACUUCUGACGCUGAGACACGAAAGCGUGGGUAGCAAACAGG
Molecule: ribosomal RNA, 253 nt
Filed under: uncultured bacterium
Lineage: Bacteria
Description: partial 16S ribosomal RNA
Rfam family: Bacterial small subunit ribosomal RNA
Source: RNAcentral